GUAAGCCCUCACUCCAUGUCUUAGUUAGGGUUUUACUGCUGUGAACAGACACCAGGCCCAAGGCAAGUCUUAUAAAAAGCAACAUUUAAUUGGAGCUGGCUUACAGGUUCAGAGGUUCAGUCCAUUAUCAUCAAGGUGGGAGCAUGGCAGUUAUCCAGGCAGGCAUGGUGCAGGAGGCGCUGAGAGUUCUCUGUCUUCAUCCAAAUGCUGGUAGUGGAAGACUGAAUUCCAGGCAACUAGGGUGAGGAUCUUAUGCCCACACCCACAGCGACACACCCAUU
This 281-nucleotide long non-coding RNA is filed under the name Mus musculus (house mouse). RNAcentral's name for it is "Mg5702". Lineage: Eukaryota; Metazoa; Chordata; Mammalia; Rodentia; Muridae. The record is from RNAcentral.